This 893-nucleotide long non-coding RNA is filed under the name Phascolarctos cinereus (koala). RNAcentral's name for it is "lncRNA (ENSPCIG00000032982.1)". The record is from RNAcentral. Lineage: Eukaryota; Metazoa; Chordata; Mammalia; Diprotodontia; Phascolarctidae.
GAACUCCUCUACACUGUAGGUGUCAAGCAGGAGUGGGCAGCCCUCAACAUGCUCAACUAUAGCCCGAACCAGACUCAUGUAAUCGAUAAUAUUUAACAAAAUAAAUAAAAACACAGUAGAACGCCUUCAUAUUCAUAUGUGGUUAUCUAAGUUAGAGUGCACCCGCAGGGAUGCUUACCGACGGUUUAGAGCCCUCCAUUCCAUUUGAUAUCGGCACCAUUGCCCUGAAGAUCUGCUCAGGAAAACUGCCAUGUAUGUGCAUGUGUGUGUGCGUGUGUGUGUUUGUGUGCGAUAAGUGCACACACACUGGGGGGCACCCGCACUGCACCUGCUGGACACGUGGGUGGCCUUCUGGCUCCACCCCUUCUGAGAGAUCACACAGUGUGGGCAGAUCUAGCAUGGAAUGCGCCACUGGGCAUGUGCAACCGCGUAAAUUUCUCUCCAGCCGUUCUCAUGGAAACAGCAAGACGCGAGGCAGAGGCUUGGCCCCGCCCCUCUUCAACGUCACAUCCGCUUCCGCUCCUCCCCUUCUGGGGCGCUGCUGUCUGCCUCCUAGGCCCUUUAGGUCCGCGGCCUUCUCGGCUCCGCUCCUUCAGCCGCUGCCGAGCUCUGAGCCCUGUGUCCGUUGUGGUCCGGGAUCCACCCGCCCCGAAGCCGGACCUGGAGCAGCAGCAGGAGAUGGUGGGCCCCGUGCACCCGGGAGCCCGGGCCCCCCAGGAGUUAGUGACAUUAAGGGCAAUAAAAUUGGGUGUGGCCCCCAAGCAGUUUCAUAGAACCCCAGAAUUGAGGGCAGGAAGGGCUGUGGCAGUCAUUCAGUCCAAGUCAUCCAUGAAAGGAAUCAUCUCUAUGGCCUGCCCAAUAAAUUGUCACCCAGGCUCUGCUUGGAAAAGAGA